CGGAAAACUGGGGAUAAUACCCGAUAGACUAUGGAUGCUGGAAUGCUUCGUAGGUGAAAGGGCCGCCGCGGUAGGAGGGGUCGGCGGCCGAUUAGGUUGUUGUUGGGGUAACGGCCCAACAAGCCUGUAAUCGGUACGGGUUGUGGGAGCAAGAGCCCGGAGAGGGAUUCUGAGACACGAAUCCAGGCCCUACGGGGCGCAGCAGGCGCGAAAACUUUACAAUGCGGGAAACCGUGAUCAGGGAACUCUGAGUGCCCGUCAACUCGGGCUGUCCAUCAGUUUAAAUAACUGGUGAAGAAAGGGCCGGGCAAGACCGGUGCCAGCCGCCGCGGUAACA
This 337-nucleotide ribosomal RNA is filed under the name uncultured archaeon. RNAcentral's name for it is "partial 16S ribosomal RNA". It matches the Rfam family "Archaeal small subunit ribosomal RNA", at positions 133 to 475 of the family's 1478-position model. The record is from RNAcentral.